Molecule: ribosomal RNA, 253 nt
Filed under: uncultured bacterium
Lineage: Bacteria
Description: partial 16S ribosomal RNA
Rfam family: Bacterial small subunit ribosomal RNA
Source: RNAcentral
UACGUAGGGACCAAGCGUUGUUCGGAUUUACUGGGCGUAAAGGGCGCGUAGGCGGCUUGACAAGUCACUUGUGAAAUCUCCGGGCUUAACUCGGAACGGCCAAGUGAAACUGUCAUGCUAGAGUGCAGAAGGGGCAAUCGGAAUUCUUGGUGUAGCGGUGAAAUGCGUAGAUAUCAAGAGGGACACCUGAGGUGAAGACGGGUUGCUGGGCUGACACUGACGCUGAGGCGCGAAAGCCAGGGGAGCAAACGGG